Molecule: transfer RNA, 75 nt
Filed under: Alphaproteobacteria bacterium
Lineage: Bacteria; Pseudomonadati; Pseudomonadota; Alphaproteobacteria
Description: tRNA-Val
Rfam family: tRNA
About the family: Transfer RNA (tRNA) molecules are approximately 80 nucleotides in length.
Source: RNAcentral
GCGCGCGUAGCUCAGCGGGAGAGCAUUACCUUCACACGGUAGGGGUCACAGGUUCAAUCCCUGUCGCGCGCACCA